This is a long non-coding RNA of Perognathus longimembris pacificus (Pacific pocket mouse), 270 nucleotides long. RefSeq lists it as uncharacterized. The record is from RefSeq and is a predicted model, not a curated record. The transcript is spliced from 3 exons. Lineage: Eukaryota; Metazoa; Chordata; Mammalia; Rodentia; Heteromyidae.
GUUGCUGAGUAAUCAUGAUGCAAAUGGUCUAGAAAAAAUUGUAGUGAGAGAACAUAGAAAAAGAAGAGACUUCCAUUUGAAGAGAUGCAUGCAAUGCAAAUAUACUCUCUGAAAGGGAGAACAAAAGGAUUAGGCUCAUAGGAAGAUGUUAAACAGGCUCCUUACAUGGGUUAAAUUACAAAGGAAGAUGUUCGUUUGGAAAUAACAGACCAAUGCAAGAAAAUCAUUGGAUUAAACAACAUGGCAUAAUGAAUAUAUGAAAGCAACAAA